This 210-nucleotide ribosomal RNA is filed under the name uncultured bacterium. RNAcentral's name for it is "partial 16S ribosomal RNA". It matches the Rfam family "Bacterial small subunit ribosomal RNA", at positions 121 to 334 of the family's 1533-position model. The record is from RNAcentral.
ACAACCUCGAAUAUGGGGGAUAGCCGGCCUAACGGCCGAGUAAUACCGCAUACGCUCUCGAUGAGGCAUUUCAUUGAGAGGAAACCUCCGGGGUAUUUCGAGGGGCUCGCGGCCUAUCAGCUAGUUGGCGAGGUAACGGCUCACCAAGGCAACGACGGGUAGCUGGUCUGAGAGGAUGGCCAGCCACAUUGGGACUGAGAUACGGCCCAG